GCCGUACAUGCAGUCGAGCGGAACGACACUAACAAUCCUUCGGGUGCGUUAAUGGGCGUCGAGCGGCGGACGGGUGAGUAAUGCCUAGGAAAUUGCCUUGAUGUGGGGGAUAACCAUUGGAAACGAUGGCUAAUACCGCAUGAUGCCUACGGGCCAAAGAGGGGGACCUUCGGGCCUCUCGCGUCAAGAUAUGCCUAGGUGGGAUUAGCUAGUUGGUGAGGUAAUGGCUCACCAAGGCGACGAUCCCUAGCUGGUCUGAGAGGAUGAUCAGCCACACUGGAACUGAGACACGGUCCAGACUCCUACGGGAGGCAGCAGUGGGGAAUAUUGCACAAUGGGCGAAAGCCUGAUGCAGCCAUGCCGCGUGUAUGAAGAAGGCCUUCGGGUUGUAAAGUACUUUCAGUUGUGAGGAAGGGUGUGUAGUUAAUAGCUGCNCAUCUUGACAUUAGCAACAGAAGAAUCACCGGCUAACUCCGUGCCANCAACCNCGGUAAUACUCUACGGUGCGAGCCUUAA
This 516-nucleotide ribosomal RNA is filed under the name Vibrio sp. RNAcentral describes it as "bacterial SSU rRNA". It matches the Rfam family "Bacterial small subunit ribosomal RNA", at positions 46 to 543 of the family's 1533-position model. Lineage: Bacteria; Pseudomonadati; Pseudomonadota; Gammaproteobacteria; Vibrionales; Vibrionaceae. The record is from RNAcentral.